This 563-nucleotide ribosomal RNA is filed under the name uncultured bacterium. RNAcentral describes it as "bacterial SSU rRNA". It matches the Rfam family "Bacterial small subunit ribosomal RNA", at positions 336 to 916 of the family's 1533-position model. The record is from RNAcentral.
CUCCUACGGGAGGCAGCAGUCGGGAAUUUUGCUCAAUGGGGGAAACCCUGAAGCAGCAACGCCGCGUGAGGGAUGAAGGCCUUCGGGUUGUAAACCUCUUUUCUCAGGGACGAUGAUGACGGUACCUGAGGAAUAAGCCACGGCUAACUACGUGCCAGCAGCCGCGGUAAUACGUAGGUGGCAAGCGUUGUCCGGAUUUACUGGGCGUAAAGAGCGCGCAGGCGGUCGAGUAAGUCGAAUGUGAAAGCCCCCGGCUCAACUGGGGAUCGUCAUUCGAUACUGUUCGACUUGAAGAUGGGAGAGGGAAGCGGAAUUUCAGGUGUAGUGGUGAAAUGCGUAGAUAUCUGAAGGAACACCAGUGGCGAAGGCGGCUUUCUGGCCCACUCUUGACGCUGAGGCGCGAAAGCUAGGGGAGCGAACGGGAUUAGAUACCCCGGUAGUCCUAGCUGUAAACGAUGAGAACUAGAUGUCGGGAAGAAUUGCUUUUCGGUGUCGCAGCUAACGCGUUAAGUUCUCCGCCUGGGGAGUACGCCGGCAACGGUAAAACUCAAAGGAAUUGACGG